AAAUUUGUUACUUAAUUCAUGUCGGAUUGCGAUUCAGUUUAGCCAACAAAUUAAAUUUGACUCUAAUUGAAAUCAAAUUGGUUCCAAUUAUAAUGCAAUAGACAAAUUGAUAUUCAAUAUGGCUAAAAUUUAAAUUAAAUUGCCUAAAUUGUAGUCCAAAAUCCUAAUUGUAAUUCUCAAAACCCUUCUACCCAAUUGACCCAAAUUAAUACACAACACCAGCCCAACAAUUUCAACAAAACAACAAUUUCAGCCCACAAAAUCAACUGGCCCAAUUUAAAAACACCACUGACCCGGCCCACUCUUUGGUCCCUUUUCUGCCUUAACCCCUCUUCAGCAAUAACAUCCAUUCAACGUACAACAACCACAACAAAAAUCUUGAAACCAGCGUACAAUACGAACAAACAAAGAACCAGCGUACAAUACCCUCUAUAAAUGAGAGCUCACUGUUGAGCUGUGGGAGAGGUUGGGAAAAAUUUCGUUUGGGGAAGCAAAAACAAGAAAAAAAUCUCAGAGAGGGGAAGGGUGAAAAACCAUCUUUGGGCGAAAAAUAAGAAAGUUUUUUUCAUUUUUAGUAUAAUUUUAGAAGCUGUAGAUUGAUCGGAAUCCUCAAAGGACCGAUUUCGGGUGGUGAAGAGAUUCCGAUGACGACUCGAGUCCCACUUUGCUGCUCCGAAAUAGGUAACAUUCUGCUCCAUUUAGUUUCGAAUAUUUCUGUUUCGUCUCGCUAUUCUAUAGUCGUGUUUCGAUGACGUUGUUUGUUGGGAGUAGCUGUAGAGGCCUUAAAGGCCAUAGGAUUGAUUAUGCUCAAAUAAAGUUGUUGUAUUGUGGUAUCCUUUUCUGUGUUGAUUGGCUGCUUGACCCCCCUCUCUUUUAUUGGAGAUUUUAGCUUCACGAUUCUGUAAGAGUGAAGGCAGGAUGUUUGUCGUUGCUUAGAAUUUGUUAACUAAUAUAAAAAAAUGAAAAAUAUGUUUGGUUUUAUUCACCUUUGAUGUUGGUCGAUUUAAACAUUUUUGUUCCCUUUCAUGAAAUGGUUCAAGUGUUAGUAUUCACAUUCUUGAAGAUUUUCACUGAUUCACCUUCUUUAGCUUCGAAAGGGGUUAGAAUCAAGGUAAAAAUCAGUUGUCGUAUUCUUAUUCUUGGGGAUUUUUCAAUGAUUCACCCUUUGGCUUCGAAAGAGACUCGAAAGGGAUUGGAAUCAAGGUUAAAAUCAGUUUUGUAUUCUUAUUCUUGGGGAUUUUUCAUUGAUUCACCCUUUGGGUUCGAAAGAGACUCUAAAGGGUUUGGAAUCAAGGUUAAAAUCAGUUUUGUAUUCUUAUUCUCAGGGAUUUUUCAUUGAUUCACCCUUUGACUUCGAAAGAGACUUGAAAGGGGUUGGAAUCAAGGUUAAAAAUCAAUUUUUGAUCCAUCUUCGCGUGAUUUGAACUUUUUUGUGAAUAAGUUUAAGUAUUAGUAUUCUUAUUCUUGAAAGUUUUCACCGAUUCACCUUUUUAGCUUCAAAAGAGACUUGAAAGAGGUUAGAAUUGAGGUUAAAUUCAGUUUUGCGAAGUGACCCAUCUUUACUUUGAUGUUGGCCGAUUUGCAUUUUCCUUUGUUCCCUUUCUCAAAUUGUUCAAACUCUCAUUCUUGAGAGUUUUUUUCACUGAUGCACCUUUUUUUCCAGUUUCUUUUGUUUUGGAUUAAUUUUCAUUUGAUAAUCAACAUUGCCUGGGCUGUCCAAGUAGAAGUUGACUUUAUAUGUAUUGUUUUUUUAUUUUGCUUGACGGGAUAUACUUUGAACAUUAAGAAUACCUUUCUUGAAGAAAUCCGUUCGGUCAAAACUAAAAGUGGAAUAUCUCUUUUUGUGAAAUCCUUCCUGUUUGUUUUAGGUUCCCUUUUUGAACAUUGUUUUCUAGAUUCAAUCAUGUGUUGUUUUACUCAAGUUUGCAAUUACUUUGCUAAUCUCUUUAUCUUUUUCUUGUUGCAUGAACACUCUGGUUGGAGUCAAAUGGACUUUUUCUUUCUGCAUUUUUUAAUGGGCCAUUGGGGCCCACCAUCUCUAUCACGUCAACUCCGAGACCCACUCCAAAAACUGAUCAUGAGACGUACGAAUGCAAGGGAUUGAAAGAUGAAGAAAUGGGUUAAAGUUCAUCUUCAAAGCGGCAAAGGAGACUUGAAAGUCUCAUUUUUUUAUUUAUUUACUUAUUAUUGUUGCCUUUAUUCUAUCCAUUUAUUCAUUUAUUUAUUUAUUUUCUCAUUGAUAUAUUUGGGCGUCGAAGCUAAAGUUGUAAAUUUAACACAGGGAAAAUGGAUUUUGGGCCAAAAAGGCUCGAAAACAUAGAUUAGGACAGGUGAAAAACGGGUCGAAAGCUCAAUUAGAUUAGGACAGAUUUCGUUGAUUUGGUCCCAAUGUCCUAAGUCUUGUACUUCCUCUCUCUUUCCCCUUUUAUGUGCUUAUUUGCUUUUCAUUUGCUUAGACUUGGUUAAAUCGGUACUAAGUUGUUCAAAUCUAUUUUACACAAAAAAAAUCAAUCAUUUUUUCACAAUUAAUCUUAUUGAAGUUGGUCAAAAGAUAUUUUCAAAUAGUUCGGAUAAUCGUAAGUUACCGAAUGUUUUAGGUGUCUUAAAAUUUUCUAAAACGUUAAUAGGAAUCACCUACUCAAAAUUUUAAAACUUAAAUUAUUUUUCUGUUUUGGAUUGUUUAAAGUAAUUUAUAAAGGUUUUCUUAAUUUUUUUUCAAAUAAAUUAAUUAAGUGGCGACUCUAAAAGUUAAAUUUUCAUGAAACAUUGUUGACUCGAUUUGUGGUUUGAACUUGGUCACCUCUCUCUCUCCCCCUCUCUCUAUAUAUAUAGAUGGACAGAAAAAUAAAUAGAUAGAUAGAUAUCUUAAAAGGUGAGAAAUAAAAGAAAAGAAGGGGCUAAUUUAUUUUUAUCUGAGAGAGAUUAAGAGAUUUCAUUUUAUAUAUCACUUGAUCGAAGUGUACAAUUAAAAUGAAUCUAUAUUUUAAAAUUUUAUCCUAAUUAGCUUAUUUAUAUGAUAAGAAUGUAUCAUCAUGUCUUAUAGCUAAUUUGGAAUUGCUUUUUUCUCAUAAAAGAAAAGAAAAGAAAAGAGAUGUUCGGUAAACUUUCAUAAGUGUCUUUAAAAGCAAGACUCCAGAAAAGUUUUGCUUUAAAAAAAAAAAAAAAAAAAACAGAUGCAGAAGAACAAAAAUAAUUUUUUAUGACAAAAAUAUUUCUAUUAGUUUC
Long non-coding RNA from Capsicum annuum, 3225 nucleotides. RefSeq lists it as uncharacterized. NCBI's taxonomy places the organism in Eukaryota, Viridiplantae, Streptophyta, Magnoliopsida, Solanales, Solanaceae. The transcript has 2 exons. The record is from RefSeq and is a predicted model, not a curated record.